ACAUUUGUAACCCUAAACUAUCUGCCUUACCAGAUAGUAAAUUCUCAACUCUACCACGAAUUUAAUAAAUUCGUGUUGACCAGCUUAAACAGAUUCCUACGAAUACAAGGAAAUUCUUCCAAACAAAUACUACUCAUCUCUAUCAAAGAAGUGCGAACAAUGCACCCUUUCAACAAAGAUUACCCGAAGGUAGAAGUGAAGGAUAAUUAAAAGAAUUAAAUUCCAAAGAAUAAGAUGAUCUCCAAAAAGGGAGUAAGUUAAUUGUGGUGAGAUCAUCGCUGCAAUAUAUUCACUUCAAGUUUCUAAGAUUCAGGAUAUUAUCGUUAUAAGAUCAGUUCAUUCCCGAACAAUGGGAGGGCUCGAAUUAUUGAAAGUAAUAUGUGAACAAUAUCUUUAAAGCCUUCAAAAUGAAACAGAAAUAUUUUCUCGAUUCACAAUGGUACGAAAUGGAAUAUUUUCACAAUCAACACUUAUCACAAAAUUAUGAAAUAGGCACGAAAAACUUCACGUCAAGACAGGGAUAGUAAACUUGCCUGACAUCCUUUAGCUCGGUAAGACUUUCCAGAUUUAAUAUAUAACUGGCUCCAUCUUUCCAAUUAUUAAAUGUUCUAAAUCACGCAAAAUAAUAAUUAAUAAUUUAAUAAUCUCGUUCACAGAAUAUGAAAAUCCCAAAAUAUUAUAAUUUACGCCUAUAAUUUAUUCACAUCUCUUGUCCGAAUAAUUAUUUAUUAAUCUUACACGAAACUAUGUUUUAUAUAUAUCUAUGUUCUUGUUUACUUAAUUAAAACCAAAUUAUUACAUUAUCUUAGUACUCGUACAAUCACCGAUACUCUAUUUUAAGAAAAAUGUCAUCCUUCACUAAUAACCCAACUUACUAAAUGGUUUCUAAGAUCCGAAAUAACUUAUCCAAAUUCCAAACUUAUUAUUCCAUUAUUAAUAUAACCCAAAUUCUAAGAUUUUACCAAUUUAAUAAUUGAUGAGUCUUAUUCCAUCCUUUAGCUCCAACAUUAUCGACAACAAACCCGUUUUAAACUCCAAAAUUCUUUCACCAUUUCUACUCAAAUAUUCUUAUUUCACCUAUUUUCUGAUUUCUUAUUUCUAAAGUUUAUUUAUUUUAAUAUUAUCAUACCCAAACAUUUCCAUCCCUAAAAUCUAACACUACCUUCUCAUUAUUGAUUUUAUUCCCACUCAAUUUUAAAAUAACCUUAAACUCCUUAUUUUCU
Molecule: long non-coding RNA, 1223 nt
Filed under: Daucus carota (carrot)
Lineage: Eukaryota; Viridiplantae; Streptophyta; Magnoliopsida; Apiales; Apiaceae
Description: long non-coding RNA (DCAR_LNC005494)
Source: RNAcentral